Molecule: long non-coding RNA, 9639 nt
Organism: Acinonyx jubatus (cheetah)
Lineage: Eukaryota; Metazoa; Chordata; Mammalia; Carnivora; Felidae
Exons: 4
Source: RefSeq, a predicted model, not a curated record
GUGAGCCAUCUUUCCACUGAGUGUGUGAUUCUAAAGGCCUUUCUUGGUAUUUAACUACAGGGUAAGACAAAAGCUAAACAUGUUAAGGCCCUAAUGAUGAGCCUGGUAGGCUAGGUUAUCGAACUGUGAGAGAGGAUUCAGAUCGUGCUUGCUCCCCAAAAACAUGCUCAGUGGAGGCAGAUCUGGAGACUCGGAUAGAACCCUAGGCUGCCACACUCAAAACCUCCAGCGUCUUUAGCAGGGGAGCCGCGAAGGGUCUCAGAGCCUGCUCCAAUCACAGCCCUGCUAAGAGGUGAAGCUUCUCAGAGCGAGUGGUCACAGCCACCAUGUCACCCAUCCCCGUUACUAUUGUCCCAUUGCGCUAACACGUCACAGGCUGAGUGGGAACCUAACUUAGGCUCUUCAGUGGCCUUGUUCAAAGUGUUUUUGGGUCAAUCACAGUGCUCUCUCAACAAGACAGAUUUGGGGCUGAAAGACCAAGCCAGUCAGGAAAUGGACACGAAGAUCCCAGGUCAAGGAGGGGCAAGAGAGGUCUUGAAAAGCCAAGGACAAGUAAAAUUACGAGAGAGGAAAGACUACAAGGAAACAGGCAGUGAGUGGACGGCGAAAGGAGAAGAAAGGAGCAGAUGUGCUGAGCAGAGUGGGUAAGUCUGGAGAAAUACAGACUGAGGUUCUGAUGUCUCCCAGUUGUGGUUCUUGGAGGCGUCCGCAUGUGUGUUUGCUUCGUGUCCCCGUGUUCCCUGUGACUCCUGUGUAUUCUCGCGUUGCCCACCUGCAGGUGCUAGUCUGUGUGUCCUCGCAGUCAAAAGACCCGGCCCCGGACGCUGACAGUUUGAGAACCCCCUUCGACAGGCAGUGGGACCUUUACUCUCACCCCGCUGUUCCGAAUCUGCCCACCUCACGGGAACCCUGUCAGACACUAGCAUGUCUGGGACUGUCCAGGGCUUGAGGCUUUAAAGUUCGCCAGCAGGGCCUGGACCUCUUCACACUCAAACCCGGGAGGCCUGGAGAUCAUCCUUUAGCUCCAGGAGGGCUCGUCCGGUGCUCUCAAGUCAUGAAUGGUUAUUUACCAGGGGGCCUGGGGAGCCGGUCUCCUACGUGUCCCCUCACACCCCUGGAACUGCCACAGUGACAGUGCCACUCGCUCUCAGUCCCAUUUUUUUUUUAAUGUUUAUUUAUGUAUUUUGAGAGAGAGGCAGAGGGAGUGAGCUGAGGAGGGAUACAGAACCCGAGGCAGCUCCAGGAUCCGAGCUGUCAGCACAGAGCCCAUGUGGGGCUUGAAGUCAGCACGUGAUCAUGAUCUGAGCCACCAACUGGGCCACCCAGCCCCAGUCCCAUUCUUUGGAAACAAAAGAGCAAAAGAACAAAAGGUGAGAAUUGAUUGUAGGGAGUGAGUGUAUCAGGAGAACAUUUCUGAUCUCACCUUAGUGGAGGAAAGAAGGCUUUUUUGUGAGGGACUUCAGCACCGGGAAUUUUCCUAACGCCCCGGAUUCCCGUGGAGCUCGCUGCCCAUUGGGCAGCUUUUCUCCUGUGGGGACUGAAGGGCCGGCAGGAUGUGGAUGGACGUGCCCACACGAGAGGAAAGAUGCUCCCUGUGGAGACGGUAGCACGACUCACAGCGGACAGCGUGGGGUGGUCAAGCUUGCUGUCUAUACAGAGAGCCAAGGACAGGAAGGUAAACCGAGGCUACAUCCUGCAGUGCUCCUUGCGUGGGCAGAGUGGGCAUCGGUUUUAGGAACAAGAGAGCGGUUCAUCAGAGCCUUCGGGGAGGACCGGGCUUUGUGAGGACCGGAGGGAGGAGAUCGGACACAAGACCAGGGUAGAUGAGUGACCUACCUGGGCCAAGGACAGAGGCAGUCGGAGCUACCCUUGGAAGUUGCUUGUUUAUGGCGUUGUGGAAGAGGGACGGUGACUUUUAGGAAAGUGGGAAAUGCCAGAGGGGGAGGGGAUGGAGAAGAGGAGGAGGAAUGGGGAGAGAGAGGCACUUCUUGGAUCACUUUAAAAAUCUUCAAAGACUCAGUUGAUGAGUUACCAUCAGACUUCAACACACCCUGUCUCAGGGGGAGACUCAAAAAAAUACACGUAGAUCAUGGCUAAAUUAGACUAAGCGUUUCAUGUCUGCACUGGGGGAAGUGUGUUGGUCUAUAACAUAUAUGUCACUAAAUCCUUGAAUGUGCUUGCAAUUUGUAUAGAAAUGUAAAAAAAAUAAAACCCAACAAAACCCAACUUAGCCUCCUUUUGUCCCCCCCCCCCCAACCCCCGCCAAGACAGUUCGGCUAUCCUAGGGUCUCUUGACUUAGAUUUUUAAUUCAUUGUGAUAAUUUUCAAGUCAGUUAAAAAUUUCCCACAUACUAUCGAUUUAUGACUACAAAUCAGAAAAAUCUAAACCCUCUGUCUUAGCACAUCACAUCUUUAAUAAGACAUUCUUUCCAGAAUGACAUUUCAAGGAUAUCUGGAGGUGACCGAUGGGAUGAUAAUUUUGAGUGAAUUUAGAGUUUUAAUUACUGUUUUAUUUGUAAUUGCAAGUGGGUGCUGUGGAGAAAAAAAAAAGAGCUAUCAACAAAGGAAAUAAUUGUUCCAAAGAAUUACAUCUGCACUGCAUUCUCUGUCAAAAAUUUCUCAUUAAAAAUGUGUUUCUUUAAAAGUAACUCAAAGCAGCUGAUGAAAUAUAAGAGCAUGGAAAGUUUCAAAUCCCAGAGCAAAUGUGGAUUCAUCAGGGAUCAUUUGCCAGAGACCUGACUCAAUGGCAAAAGACCUUCUCACCAUUUCUCACAUCCCUUCCUGGGUUUCAUACAGAGUGGAUAAAGAACGACUAAGCUACGAACAAGUCUCCCAAAGAGGAGACAAUCCCGUAAACCUUCCCAGGAUCUCUGCACCACCUGCCAAGGCUGACGCGUGAGAGAUGGCUGUUACCAAGAUUAUUCCCAAACAUCCUCUAGCUUGCUGGAGACCACAAAGAUCAGUCCUGCCUGAGAGGCCACCGGUGUGCAUCUCACAAAAGAAUAAGAUGAUGGAAAAAUAUGACCAUCUCCUUGAAGUAGGGGCUGCCAAUGGAAGAAAAGCAGUAGAUGGGCAGAAGACAAGGUCAAAACCCAGGUCGGGCUGACGCUGUCUGGAAGACCAAAAGCCAGCUGCCUUAUCAACGAAUUUAAUGAGCACCUAUUAUGUGUGGGGACCUUGCCAAAUGCUGCAGGAAUCCCUUCCUGAGGGUAUUUACAGUCUAUUGAGGAGACAAGGCACGUGUAGACCAAAUGAUUUAAUUAUCAUCUCAGUCUGUCUUCUCAUACUGAGCUGUAAGAGCGAGAAGAGCAGGGGCUGUGUGUGUUUUGGUAUUGCUGUAUCUCCAGAAGCGAACACAGUGCCUGCUCGGGGGUGCUGUUCCUGCUGAACUAAUUCCCGCCAGAUAUCGUGAGGCCACGUUAGACCAAGGACAUCGGACCCUUCUCUGUGGCCGGGCUGCUCACGGACCCUUGGAUCUCCCAUUGCUAAACCUGUGUAAUGGGCAUAACUUCAUUUUACCCAGUCCACUGUGCAAGAUAUGCACCUUUAAGUAUUUCUUUAACUCAAGUUGCCAUACUUCAUUGAUUCCAAUACAUGCCUUUUCGUGCGUUAGCGUCUCAGAAAUCAGGAUCUUCUCACUGAUGGCAUCUUUGAAUAGCUAUUUCCCGGGUGGCAGGGCGGACGGAAUGGCCCGUGCAUGUCUGAACUUGUUCACAGGCAUUCCUAUGACCGUCCCUUCUGUUGAAGUCUGUGCAUUGUUGAUAGGACCCAAGUUGAGUUUAGUUGCUGUUUGAAAUGUUUUCAAAAAGAUCAUCCCAAGUUUCAGGUUUGAGAUGAAAAGUUGUCGUCAACAGAAAGGUUUGGAAACAGAGCAGUGGGGUGCAAAUAUGAUAUUAGUGAGGCAGGUAUUUGUGUUGGGGGGGUCGCUGAAAAGCAACAACCUCAUACACGGUAAUAGAUGUAGAUUACUACAAGCGUUUGAAACUGUGAUCAUUUUGUUACUGAGUUGUGUACAAAGGCAAUGCCUGUUUGCACACGUCAAGCAAGCAAGCACCCACAUCAGACCUUUUAGAAUGGAUGGCAGCAUCUCGGAAGAAAACCUGGAGCCAAUAGUGGGGACGCUUGUAAGAAAUGUUUCGUCAUCAAUACAGAGGACAGCGCCGUGCAGAAAAAUAUGAACAUUGAUUCUGAAUGCGUAAACUCUGAAUGCGAAGAUAACUUCGGGAAUUUCUUAACGAAUUUAUUUUCUUUUUUGUAUACGCGUGAGUGUGAUGUAUAAUAAAAGCCUCUGACCCAAUAAGUCUAGAAAAGCUUUUUCAGCAAGCAUAAAAUACAGAUUUUAAGUGAUGAGAAAGCAUCGUUUCAUAGAUGAAUUGGCGUCUUUCUUUCUUAGUGGUACAUAAAUUAAUGAUGCAUUUUACAAUCGAUGGCUUCUGAGUAUCAAUGAAAUAACUACUUUCUCAUUUGAGUUCCCAUUCCUUUGGGUAUUAGAAAUUAAAUUUCUGUCAGUUCAGCAGCACCCCUCCCCAUGAUUACACUGCAUUCCUGGGGGCUUACCCACAGCUACCAUUUAGACUGAGGACACUGUGCUUGUUGGGCAUGAGUUUCUCUCUGUGCUGGCAGCCACCGAGAUGGCCAUGUCUGAUGCCACACAGACUGCUGCUGGGUCCUUUUCCUGUUCUCAUCUCAGGCCUCUUUCAGAGUUGGGGGGAUCUUUCUGCUAGUUCAAGUGGGCUUGGGGUCCACCUCCCUGGCAGCGAAGACACUGAGCUGGUGAGGCCCUGGGCCCCUCGGUGGGCUCUCUGGAGCAGGAAGGGCAGUUUGCAUCCUCUUGGGCCCUGGGUGGAAUUCACUCUUCCCACUGCUCUUAGGCAUGUAGGAUCCAGCUUCCCUUUGCCAUCUCUUUGGAACGGGGAGACCUAGACCCCGCCAUGUUUCCACUCUGGCAUCUCGUGGCCUCCCUGGCUCCACCUGGGGAAGGGGUACGCGUGUCCUCUGGCCUGGGUGGGGUUUCUGGUUGUUCCUCUUCCAUCUCUGCAUGAUGAGGGGAGGGGGCUGUGCUGCAGGACCCCCUGUUGAGGUCCCUCCUGGCCUCCUCUCCAGCCUGCCCUGUCCUCCUGGUCUGGGCAAUGCCUUCUAACCUGGAGGGCCAGAGAGCCUGUCUCUUACUCACCUCCCCAAGUUUUGCAGCUCCUCAGAGGCUUUGGGUUCUAAAACUCAAGCCAAGGACAGACUCGUGGUUCCCCUACCGUCUGGACGAGUGCUUCAGAGCACAAAGCUGACUAAAUGGAAGAAAGAUCUGGAACAAAGAAACACAAGAAAAUCACAUUGGCUCACAUUUCAAAAUAUCACCCCAAUGCAGGUUCUCACCGUGGUUCCCCUUUCCCCUUUAUUUUAAUGUGUUUGUGUGGGUCCAUUUCUCACAUUGUCGGUUUUCCACCCUAUUUUGUAGUAGCCUGGGGCCCCGUUCUAACUACGAUGCCUCAGAUUGACUGUUUCUCAUUACCUCGGAAACUGGGGUGAAGGGACAACCAUGUUCUUCCUUCACCUCCUCCUCCUUCAAUUGUUAUCAUAUAAAGUUUAUAAUCUUUGUUCCAUCAUAGAGAAUCCAUAACAUGAGACGAAGCAGAAGGAAGGAAAGGAAAUCAUGCAUCACCUCACUGUGCUAAGACAUCCACUGGUUGGUGACAUUUUGUUCUUUCUCAAGUUGGUUCUUCGUGCUUACAUAGCUUUUGUAUAUUUUUAUAUAGCUGACAUUGCAUCAGCCAUAAAAACAAAUAUCCUGCUUCGUUCGUUCAACACUGUGGCUGAGUAUGUUUCCUUAUUAUCCUCAAGUCUUCAGAACCCUUAGUUCAAUGUGGCCGUUUAUGCAACCAUCUCCCUUGCGUUGAGCACUUAGCGUAUUCCCUUCAUCAUAAAUAAACGAUAGCAUUGUGAUGACAUCCUUGUGCAUGAAAGUUGCCCCGCCGUUUCUGACUAUUGUCUUGAGAUAGACUCCCAGGAUCGGGAUCGCUUGUAAGACUGCCGUCUUAAAAACAAGCCAUUUCCCUACCCUCUCUGUGGUGUCUUCUCUGCCCAUUUAUCAGUUGUUACAGUAACGCUUAUCUGCGGGUAGCGCGUACUGUUUGGCUGGGAGUUUUCUACAAGCUGGUGUCCUUACAACAAUUUGGCAUUUAUCUAUAGGAGGUCACGUCCGGUACUUCCAUGUACAAAGUCUGACUCGGUUACUUCGAAAGUUUCAUCAUUUUUUAGCCAAAGAUGUUGACAGGCAGCCUGCGGCAUUAGACCUGGAGCGUCACAUCGAACAUGAAAAUGACUCUGAACGUGAUGUGGCCGAUUUCGUUUUAAACAAACAUCCAACGCUGAUCCAUAAAAAGCACUGUCCCCUCCAAAGAGCCACUGUGGAUGGCCGAGCACUUAUUCCAAAGAUGCAUCAUCACUCAAGAUGGUUUCAGGCCUCCCCUCUUGAAAAUGGCUGUCAGAGUCUUGUGAAUAUCCUCCAUGAAGAAAAACAAAAAAAGAACAAGCUUAAUCCUUCGAGGAAGAAUUGGAUCUUGGGAGCCUUUCAGUGGUAUUCAGGAUAAAAUCUGAGUGGACCGUGGGGUUGGUGAGCAGGUGGACAAGACCAAUAAAACUGUCGUAAGGCCGCGGGGUGACUUUCUGGUGCGACUAGUCGGUAGCCGAGUGUAUGGACACAGUUCUCCGAGAGAAAAGAGUUACGCUGUAAGCCACAGCAGCAUCUUUGGGACGGAAGCAUCACCCAUGUUGACAUCAGGUUGGGGAAGUAUAUGCUCUGAAGCAUUUAACCUCGGCUCAUUACUUACUAGUGAUAUCAUUUAAAUUAAAAUAGUCACUUUUUUUUUUUUUUUAAGUAUGAGAUCGGGGCGCCUGGGUGGCUCAGUCAGUUAAGCGUCUGAGUCAGCUCAGGUCAUGAUCUCGCAGUUCGUGAGUUCGAGGUCCACAUGGGGCUCUGUGCUGACAGCUCAGAGCCUGGAGCCUGCUUUGGAUUCUGUGUCUCCCUCUCUCUCUCUCUGCCCCUCCCCUGCUUGCACUCUGGCUCUCUCUCUCAAAAAUAAAUAAACAUUAAAAAAAAAAAGUCUGAGAUCAGGAAGAAGAAUAAAAUGUAUGUAUUGCAAAUUCCUGCGCUUAAUUUUAACACUCCAGGGAGGACCUUGCCUCUUUUAAAACAAUGCCAUCUUAUCCGUUUAAAAUAAUACAGACGCAUCCCAGGGAAUUGGGGAAACCCAGGAACUUUGUCUCUCAGAGAUGUUCCCUCAUAAUAUCUGAUUGGGUUCCCUGGAAACAGAGUCCGAGAUAAAAGUUGCAUGCGGAGUGUAUCUUGGGGAGACUCCCCUGGACGAAAGGGAGGGAGAAGCUCGCAGAGGGAGAGUCUGGCUCCAAAUGUGGCUCCCACUGGCCGGGGCUGAGCGGGCCUGGCCUUCCAGAAUGCUUCCAAAGGAAGGUAAGUGGGUGGGCCUUUGUGGCCCUGCCUCAGCAAGUCACUGCCCGCGCCCCCCCCCCCCCCCAGGGGCUAAUUUUGGAUGCGUCUACUUCCUGGGGCCCAGAACAAUUCCCAGUGAGGGGUGCAGCUGUGAGCUAUCAGCAGUGACGUCCCAGCCGCCGGGGAGGGAUCAGGGCUCCAGAGAGGGACUUGGGUGAAGACACAUGAUCUACCACAUUGCAUGCACAUUGGGAUCCCCCCCACCCCCCACAUCACAUACAACUUCAAGCCCACUUUUUUUUGCUGAACGUUCUUUGGUGAAUUGUCCCCAUCUUGUGAACCUUUCUUUGAAAACAUUUUAAGUAGAUGCCUGUUUGAUUGUGUGGAAAUGUCAUCUAUGUAACCAUUCUCUCAUUGUGGGACAGCUCAUUUUUAACACAUUUUCCCCGUGAGAGACAAUGUUGCCACGGCCACAUUUGUGUCUCGGCGAUGGUCACGGUAACAAUGAAAAAAGAGUCCACACUUAAUUGACUGCUUAUUGCUGACCGGAUCAGGCUAAUAUUUUUCUUGCCUUCCGUGUGGAGUUUUCAUGAAAAAUAAACAAGAAGAUGCAUAUAAAUAAAGAUGUUACAUUUAAUAACUCAGUCGUCUUCACACCUCCGUGACGCAGAGAGAGUUAUCCCCAUUUUGCAGGCGAGGAACCCAAGGUCCAGAGAGGUUGAGUCCCCCUUGCAAAGUUGCACAGCUGGUGAAAUACAGACACUCUAAAUCCAGAGGUCAAACAAUGCACUGUACUGCUUAGCCUGCUUUCCUGAAGUUCAUGUCCUUAGAAGGAAAAUUCUGAGGUCAAAGGGCUUGAUUUAUUUUAGAACUCAUGAUAAGAAUUGCCAGACGGUUUUCCAGAAGCAGUGAGUACUUGUGCUAGCAGAGGAAGUGGGUUUAUUUCAGCGCAGUCAACCCCGAAAACCCUCAAUCCUUAGAACCAUGAUACACGCACGACUAGUCCUCUAUUUCCUUGUCUUCCAUCAGGCAUUGUGAACAUCGGUGGUUCUUUAAAAAAAUUUUUUUUUAAUUUUUAAAAAAUGUUUAUUUAUUUUUGACAGAGAGAGCGAGGGACAGAGCGUGAGCUGGGGAGGGGCACAGAGAGGGAGACACAGAAUCCACAGCAGGGUCCAGGCUCCGAGCUGCCAGCACAGAGCCCGACGGGUCUCAAACCCAUGAGCCACGAGAUCCUGACCUGAGCCAAAGUCACAGGCUUAACCGACUGAGCCACCCAGGCGCCCCUGAACGUCGGUGGUCCUUAAGCAGAAGGUUUUCUUUUUGUUUUAGCACGCACGACUUUUUCAGGAUCAUCUUGUAAGGGUUGACUCCGUUGUGCUGCCUACAUUUCCAAGAAGAAUUUUUCGUUUGCGGAAUGAAUGCAUGAAUGAGGGCGGGGAGAGAACGUGAACCCGCAACCCCUCGCUGGGAGUGAAGCAGGUGAAUGGAAACCCCGGAGAAGACCGUCCUCCAGAAACAGCGGGAGUAGUUUUCGACAAUGGAAAGGUUUCCCAAAAAUUCUUUGCCAGGGUCUUUUUCUGAGUCUCCAUUGAACUGCUUAUUUAAUAAGCACUGUCCACCCUUUACGAGCUGGACUCUAUCAUGUGCUUGGAAACACCAACGUUUCAUGCUGGGAACAAAAACCUUUGGGGUCAUCUAGCCCCCACCUGAUUUCAAGCUGGAGGAGCACGAAGUCAGGGCAGCCCCCUGCUAGGGGAGGGGCAUUUCCCUGUUCUGGGGGUGGCAGUGCAGGAGCUGGGUUGCUGUUAUCUUUCAUUCGUGGUCAGAGGAACCCUUCUAAGAUGUCACCAGAGCUAUUUUGCAUUAUUUUAGCAGUGACUUAGGCUGAUGCUACCUUCAAAUACCUCGAUAUUUAGUUUGCCACCGAAUUCUGAAGGACUUCUUUGGAAAACCAAGAAGUUUUUCCCUCAAUAUUUUGCCCUUUGGCACUGGAUCAAACCUCUCCAAGUUCAUUUCCUGACCUCCUCCUCUUCCACCUAGGUUCCUGGGAGGCUUCGGUGAGCUAACGUAUGUAACAUACGUCCCCAGAGUAAGCGCUCAGUAGAUACUGGCUUCCACUUCCUCUGGGUCCGCACGUUCCCUGAACUUUCUUCCACCUGGGAUGGCGAAUGAUUGUGUGAGUUUCCUUUCUUUUUUCC